RNAcentral lists this ribosomal RNA (460 nucleotides) under uncultured bacterium. RNAcentral describes it as "partial 16S ribosomal RNA". It matches the Rfam family "Bacterial small subunit ribosomal RNA", at positions 338 to 795 of the family's 1533-position model. The record is from RNAcentral.
CCUACGGGUGGCAGCAGUGAGGAAUAUUGGUCAAUGGACGAGAGUCUGAACCAGCCAAGUAGCGUGAAGGAUGACUGCCCUAUGGGUUGUAAACUUCUUUUAUAUGGGAAUAAAAUGUUCCACGUGUGGGAUUUUGUAUGUACUAUAUGAAUAAGGAUCGGCUAACUCCGUGCCAGCAGCCGCGGUAAUACGGAGGAUCCGAGCGUUAUCCGGAUUUAUUGGGUUUAAAGGGAGCGUAGGUGGAUUGUUAAGUCAGUUGUGAAAGUUUGCGGCUCAACCGUAAAAUUGCAGUUGAAACUGGCAGUCUUGAGUACAGUAGAGGUGGGCGGAAUUCGUGGUGUAGCGGUGAAAUGCUUAGAGAUCACGAAGAACUCCGAUUGCGAAGGCAGUUCACUGAACUGCAACUGACACUGAGGCUCGAAAGUGUGGGUAUCAAACAGGAUUAGAUACCCCAGUAGUC